AUAGGGUCCAUCGUUUAAUACCCUUCAUAGGAAGCGGAAUACCAAAUGACUUCGUAUUACACGUAGUGCACUAUGUAGGGUAUAGGGUCCACUGUUUAAUACCCUUCAUAGGAAGCAGAAUACCAAAUGGCUUCGUAUUACACAUAGUGCACUAUGUAGGGUAUAGGGUCCACUGUUUAAUACCCUUCAUAGGAGGCGGAAUACCAAAUGGCUUCGUAUUGGACGUAGUGCACUAUGUAGGGUAUAGGGUCCACUGUUUAAUACCCUUCAUAGGAAGCGGAAUACCAAAUGGCUUCGUAUUACACGUAGUGCACUAUGUAGGGUAUAGGGUCCAUCGUUUAAUACCCUUCAUAGGAGGCGGAAUACCAAAUGGCUUCGUAUUACACAUAAUGCACUAUGUAGGGUAUAGGGUCCACUAUUUGAUACCCUUCAUAGGAAGCGGAAUACCAAAUGGCUUCGUAUUGGACGUAGUGCACUAUGUAGGGUAUAGGGUCCACUGUUUGAUACCCUUCUUAGGAAGCGGAAUACCAAAUGGCUUCGUAUUGGACGUCCACAAGAUGUCCGCAUCCAGAGGCGGGACAUGUAUGGUUCUAGAGAGUAUUUAAUUGGACGAUCACAAACUUCUUACUACUUAUGAAUAAUAAUAAUAAUUUUUUUUUUUUAAACAGUAAUGAGCUAUAAAAUUAAAAUGAGAACAUCUCCGAAGCUAUUUGUAUCCCCCCCAACUGGUGUGUAUAACCCUAAAUACAGAAAGCUCCUUGAUUUCAGGGGCCCUUUAAAACAAGUUCCCAGGACAACAAGUAAGCCAAGGCCAAGCGAAAGCUCCGGUGUGUUGCUCAGUCCCAUGGAGAUCUAACUGACUAGCUUCAAAAUGUUCGCUAACGUACACACCAUAUGAAAUAACGCAUGGUGAGCUAGUUAGCUAAUCAAGAGCGUCAAUACAGACACAAACACGUAUAUAAAGUCGUCGUCCUGAUCGUUUUCAGGUGGGUCGUGCCGCCAUUUUGUUUCAACAUAGACCCCAAGUAAUAAUUUGUUUUCGCUAAAGUCAGUAGAGAGUACGGUUUAUUUUCUCGCGUUGGGUAACGUGAGAAAGGAGCGCGGUUAAACGAGUGGAUAAAACUGUCCAGUAAUCUCAACUCGCAGGUUAAAUCUGACAGGAUUAGUGCUGUUAUUAGCGUAAGGAAAGUAUUAUUAAUACUUUUAUGAAGUAAUAAUAAAUAAAAACAAAACGACUGUGUUCAGAGAGCUUGUGGUUUUCACACACACACCUUUUAACCUCGGCGAUUCCCUCACACACUUUCAGGUUCGGCAGACAAUCACGCGACGUCUCUAACGCUCUGAUACGCCGAGAGCCGAGUUCUCGUGUCUCGCACGUUGACCCGACUGUGAUGGAGGGGGCGGAGUCAGAGUCAGGUGAUCAGGGUUCCUCUCAGACUGGUUUAAACAACUACUUAAAGUGAAAGCGAGUCUGUUUGAGUGCAGAAAGAGGAACAUGGACAAAUACACACACACACACGCGCACACACACUCACACACUCACAGAGUGUAUUUAAGCAGGUGCAACAUGUAGUGUAAAUGAAGCCUAAAAAUCCAAAUCGUAGUGAUUUUCAUAUGCUAAGGAUCAUCCAGACAGACAAAGUGAGAGAGGGCGAGCGAGAGAGUGAGACAGUGUGAGAGACGACGAUGGUGAGAGUGAGAGAGGCAGAUGGUAAGAGAGACAGGUUGAGAGUGUGAGAGAGACAGUGAGAAUGAGAGAGAUAGCAGCCCAGCUCUGUGUGUGUGUGUGUGUGUGUGUGUGUGUGUGUGUGUGUGUGUGUGUGUGUUUUGACUGCCAUCAGACCUUUGAUCUCAUGUUGUGUGUCUGCACAGAGAGAGCGAGGCAGAGAGAGAGCGAGAGACCGACAGAGUGAGAGACAGAGUGAGAGCGAAAAAGACAGAGCGAGAGACAGACAGCGAGAGACA
Molecule: long non-coding RNA, 1965 nt
Organism: Ictalurus punctatus (channel catfish)
Lineage: Eukaryota; Metazoa; Chordata; Actinopteri; Siluriformes; Ictaluridae
Source: Ensembl